UACGAUCAUAUCAAUUUGAAACGCCGGUUCUCGUACGAUCACCGAAAUUAAGCAAUGUCCAGACUGGUCAGUACCUAGAUGGGUAACCGCUUGGGAAUAUCAGGUGCUGUAAG
Acanthosepion pharaonis is the source of this 113-nucleotide non-coding RNA. Lineage: Eukaryota; Metazoa; Mollusca; Cephalopoda; Sepiida; Sepiidae. The record is from the annotation of a GenBank genome assembly.